RNAcentral lists this long non-coding RNA (797 nucleotides) under Capsicum annuum. RNAcentral describes it as "long non-coding RNA (CANN_LNC010211)". Lineage: Eukaryota; Viridiplantae; Streptophyta; Magnoliopsida; Solanales; Solanaceae. The record is from RNAcentral.
UGAAGAAAUUUUAUUUAUUACAAAUAUUAUGUGAAGUGCUUGAUAACUGCGCAAAGCGCGAUUCUAUUUACUAGUUAAUAAAAUAAAAGCAUGAUAAAUAAAAGAGAAAAUACAUCAUUUCACUCCUCCUGAACUUGUCCGCAUAACUUACUUUAAACCCUUAACUUUACGGACAGUUAUAUAACCCCCUUAAUAACUUUAAAUUGAAUUAAACUCUACCCUAAGACUGUAAUAUCAGUCUCACUACGAAAGGUGUAUCACACAAGCCGCCACAUCAGUUCCACAUUAUUGCUACGUCAAAAAUUAUUUAAAUUUUGAUUGUUUUUCUUUUCCUCUCUCUCUUCCAUCAAGGUACCUCCAUCUCCAUUAAUAUCUUCUCCAUUGUUUAACUUCAAUAUUUGCUAAUUAAAAAAAUGAAAUUUGACCUUAGAAAAUUCUAAUCUUCAUAAAAUACAACCCCUUUUAUUUUCAUUGUUGAGUUUGUUUAGUGUAUCUACACAAAAAAAGAAAAAAAAAAUCAAAAGUGAGAAUUGAGGUGCAUCAGAGGUUAGGAUUAAGGGAGGAAAGGGAUUGAUGUUUGCAGAAGAAAAAACAAAAUAGAGGGAUUACAAGAAGAAGAAAGAGGUGGGGACGGAUGAUGUUUGAAGAAGAAAAAGUCGGUGGGGGUGAGAAUGUCGUGGAGGUGUGGGACUAUGUUAGAAGGAGAAGGAAUGGGGUUUUGUAAAAAAAAAAUUAGGUAGGCUGGAUGGGUUUGAAGGAGAAGAUUGAUGUUUUUGAAGAUAAAGAAGAGAGCGGGG